Molecule: ribosomal RNA, 253 nt
Filed under: uncultured bacterium
Lineage: Bacteria
Description: partial 16S ribosomal RNA
Rfam family: Bacterial small subunit ribosomal RNA
Source: RNAcentral
UACGAAGGGAGCUAGCGUUGUUCGGAAUCACUGGGCGUAAAGCGCACGUAGGCGGAUGUGUCAGUCAGGGGUGAAAUCCCGGAGCUCAACUUCGGAACUGCCUUUGAUACAGCACGUCUUGAGUCCGGAAGAGGUGGGUGGAAUUCCUAGUGUAGAGGUGAAAUUCGUAGAUAUUAGGAAGAACACCGGUGGCGAAGGCGGCGCUCUGGACCGAGACUGACGCUGAGGCGCGAAAGCGUGGGGAGCAAACAGG